CCCUUAGAUGUUCUGGGCCGCACGCGCGCUACACUGAUGCAUUCAACGAGUCCAACCUUGACCGAGAGGUCCGGGUAAUCUUUGAAACUGCAUCGCGAUGGGGCUAGAUUAUUGCAAUUAUUAAUCUUCAACGAGGAAUGCCUAGUAAGCGUGAUUCAUCAAAUCGCGUUGAUUACGUCCCUGCCCUUUGUACACACCGCCCGUCGCUCCUACCGAUUGAGUGUGUUGGUGAGGAGUUUGGAUUGGCCUCGGAAGGUGGUUCGCCACCGUCCGUAGCUGAGAAGUUCUCCAAACCGCCCCACUUAGAGGAAGGAGAAGUCGUAACA
RNAcentral lists this ribosomal RNA (326 nucleotides) under uncultured eukaryote. RNAcentral's name for it is "partial 18S ribosomal RNA". It matches the Rfam family "Eukaryotic small subunit ribosomal RNA", at positions 1470 to 1796 of the family's 1831-position model. The record is from RNAcentral.